This is a long non-coding RNA of Ictalurus punctatus (channel catfish), 1063 nucleotides long. NCBI's taxonomy places the organism in Eukaryota, Metazoa, Chordata, Actinopteri, Siluriformes, Ictaluridae. The record is from Ensembl.
UUGAGGACUAGCUCUGACUGGGUCGAGGUCAGUGAGGCAUUGUGCAACUCGACGUUUCCAUGUGACUAAAACUGAGAGAUGUUUCUUUCCCUGGAGGUCACCACAAAGACAGUUUUCAAAUAAAACUGGUUAUUGUAGAGUUCAGAUCCCACCGUGUACUGCGUGACAGAGCACGAGUUAAACUAAGAUUUGAUGCUGAAUUAAAUUAUUGAUAAUGCCUUUCGUAGAUCAAGAACUUGUCAUGGAGAAGGGGCUCGUGUACUCAGAGAGAUGGAGCUUAACGCCGCACAUGAAGAACAGAUCCGAGCUGAGAGAUCAGACUCUGAUCCUUAUGAAAAGUCCAAAAAGACAGUGUAAACUACCUGGACUAAAAAAGCUACGCAUUCUGACUGGUGCACAAAGAGCGGCAAAGGAUAAUCAGCUAAGCAGCAAUCAAAGCCAGUGCCUUUAGGGGUGGCUGUUAUUUCAUCGCCCUCAGAUGAGGGAUAGACUAACUGUAAUUUGAUCUUUGGUCUAACACAUCAGACCACAAACCCUUCCAAAGGGAUGUGGAAUGUGUAACGGUCCUGAGUAGAGGCUGACCGACUGAUCGGUUUUGCAGAUUAAUCGGCACCGAUAACUGAUUUCUGAACUAGCGGUAAUCUGCAACAAUCCACACCGUUAGUCUGGUCGCAUCCGUUGCGGAGCAGCUGGGAAGUCAUUAUAUGGUACAAGAGCGGCCUCUGGAGGUGAAAUGAAAACCAUUGAUAAAUUUUAUUGCGUUAUUUGAAGUUUUUGUUUAAAUUUUUUUUAUUCAUUUUUGAUGUCUUUUUUUUUUUCCCCGGGGCAUAAAUUUUUGGUUCAGUUUGAAUGUGUCAUUAUAAAAAGUACAAUACAUUUUCAGGGUACAGUCAGUACUGUAUUUUUUAAUUUAAUAAAAUUCAGCAACAUUUAAACUUGAGUGUUGUAUUUUCAUUCGGUAUCCAUUUUAAAAACUGCCGGUUGAUUAAUCGGGUAUGGGCAGGUGCUGCCCGACUUAGUUAUGGGUGAAAAUCCACAGCCCAUCGGUCGACCUCUAGUCCUG